CAUUUGUUCAGUCGGUUCAGGCGUAGGCAAAACCUAGCCUUCUUUCUGCGAGCCAACCGCCUAAUCCCCAUCUCCAACUCUUCGACAGUCCUGCCAUCCGCUGCCACAGCCAGGGGCCAAUGAAUCCCGGACUGUACCUGGAGGAGCAUCGCCGGAGACGUCACCUCCCGUAGGUGGGAGCCAGACCUAGGGUGCCGAAGUCCGCGGGAGGAGGCCGCCAAGCGCCCGUCCGUGCCGCUGGGAGGAGUGUUCUGGCGAGAAGAAGAUGGUGGGAGGGCGGGGCUAACCUGCUGAUGAUCUCUGGUGGACAGCUGAAGAGAUCCAGCAUCACAUUGCAGGGUGCCACGGCGCCCUCUCCCAGCCCCUUUGCCUCUCCCGGGGACAACAUCAGAGCCUUGCAUCCAUGAACGGAUGGGAAAUCACCCUGGCGACCAAGCCCCCGCGAUGCGCCCGAACCGUAGGGGCCUGCGCAGCGAUGUGUGCGCAGCGGGUGCGCAAGCACCAUGGCCGUUCCGCGCCCCCGCCGCAACCUUCUCCCCACAGCCCAUCCGUUCUUCGGAGCAACGUGCAAGAAGAUGCAGUUUAGGGACCCUGUGGUGCCCAUGGGCAGCACCUCUGGUAGGAGCUUCAGCGGUUCAGCCCCACCUCUCUGAUUUCAAUUAAUUCCCUCAUAGUUUUUGCAGAUUCCAGGUCACGCCAUAUUAGCAGAGAUGGCCUUCUGCAUUGAAUUGAUUACAUACUAGCUACCCUGCUCCAUUUUACAUUGCAUCAUGCAUCAAAGAAGAGGGGUUGUUACUGGCUUGCUACCGAGUCAGUUUAUACGGUUGUACUCCAUAAUUAGUGAGAUAAAUAUCUUCUACAGAACACACCAGUUCUUGGUUAGUGUCUCAAUUUCCUGCAACUUAAGCGUCCUGAAUUUCUGAAGUUUUAUGUGCUCCUUAAAUUUCUGAAUUUAUUAUAUGUAUGCAUUAUCAGCCCAUUACAAUUAUAUUCUGCUUAUGGCUUCUGUCCCUGUAAUUCGUGCACCCUUAAUUUGAGAAGUAAUAGCUGUCUUAUGGUUUCUCAAUCUUAUUGGUAUACAACUAAACAGUAUCCCACUAUCUGUCUAUUUUUUAUAGCGUUAGCGUUAUGUUCAUGUUCAAUCUUUUUAAUAAUCCGAAAAGGAAUAUUAUUCUAGGCAGGAAGAGUAGACUCAUUCCCACCGCUUGGGUAUGAUUAGACAUGAAGGAAUAACGUGUUUCCAUGUGCUUGCAGGUGCACCUUCUAUUUCUACCAUUCUUGUUCAGGCCUAAAUAAAUAGACCAGGUCAGUCAAAUACUAUAGAUGAGCACCUGAACCAAACUGUUCAAGCUAAUUGCAGGAAUUGAUGUACAUAUUGUCAUAUUCAUACAACAUUUUCAGUGUUCAUAGAGAUAUGCUCAUCUUCGGACAAGAUAAUGUGCUAGCUUUUGUUGGGUUAAACAUUCAUGAGUACUAAUAUGAGGUUACGUUAGUUUUUGCUGCAAUCAUCAGCAAUUGUUAGAAAUAACUGGUUAUUAAACAAGAGUGGUUGACUGGGUUUUUCUCGACAGCUUAUGUACAAGAAUAAGUGGUGUUCUUUGGUGAACAUGAACCCUUUUGAACUGUUUCGUGAUAACAUAAACUCUUGGUAGACACAUUGAUAGUUCACACCAUUACUUCCAUUGUUUUCAGUUACUAUUCAGCUAAAUAAUCCUUAGUUAAAGAAUAGCCUAUGUAGCUGAUGGGUCUUAAAUAUCUGUAGAAUUUUUACCAGGACCUAUCAUUCUCGUGAUAAUUGGAGUAUUAUUUUUAUUUUGAUAGGGAGCCUCGCUUUCUGCUAUGUUUCAGAUUUGGUAAACUGAAGUGAUUUACCGGAUUCCAUGGCUCUGAAUUAAGGUAUAUGCCAACAAUAAUACUACUUGGAAGAUCAUGAUAGUGACUCGAAUGCAAAUUUUUAGAAUGUAUGCAGCUUCUUGACGGAAUAAGAUGGUAUGGAAGCUUUGGCAGGAGUUACCUUGCUGCCACCAAGUAGGCAAUUACCAAGGCUCACAGAUACAUUAUUUCUUCUGACCAAGCUGGGUUCAAAAAUAACCUUUUAUAAGACUGAAACUAACCGAAUAUCUGCAUGAGAGUACAGUAUCAUUCUUGGUGAGUUGCUUAGCCAUACAUCCUCAUAGACCCCUUCCAAUUUUAUUGACAUGUUUUGUCCUUCCAGUACUAUUGCUAUGUUCUUGUGGGUACUAAAAUAGUGUAUUAGGUAGCAAGGUCCGAUGCUUCUAGGCAUAACUCCUGUAAAUAUUUUCACUAUGUUUUCAAGUACCUUAUCGUAUGUGUUAUCAUCCUGAAUUUCCCUUUCAUGGUAAAUCACAUUAAGAGAAACUUCAGCACAUAUUUCCUUUGAUAGGAUUUGCAGGUUCUGUUAGAGAAGGUUAUCGGCACAUCAACUUCCGAGAUUCAGAGAAGUUGCUUUGGUUCCCUAUGUGUCACUUCCAUCAGGAAGAUUCUUCGUGGAAAAAAGGGACGCAAGGUGCCAAACCAACCUACAUUAUUUCAAGGGCAGUGUUUUUUAGCCUCUAGGGUCAUACGACUGUCUCUCAAAUCUUUCAUCAAGCCGCUUACUUUCAUGUUGCUCCCAGGUUGUCUAAUUUUGGCAACCUUUCGAAAUUUGAAAAGAAGUUUCCAUGCAUUCAUCAAAUUUAGUGAACAAUACACCACUUUGUAUAUGAUUUUCUUUUUGCUAGAACUAGCUUUUAUA
Lolium perenne is the source of this 2755-nucleotide long non-coding RNA. RefSeq lists it as uncharacterized. Lineage: Eukaryota; Viridiplantae; Streptophyta; Magnoliopsida; Poales; Poaceae. The record is from RefSeq and is a predicted model, not a curated record.